This 410-nucleotide transfer-messenger RNA is filed under the name Caldilineaceae bacterium. It matches the Rfam family "transfer-messenger RNA". From Rfam's summary of the family: Bacterial tmRNA, also known as 10Sa RNA or SsrA, is named for its dual tRNA and mRNA-like properties. Its role is to liberate the mRNA from a stalled ribosome. Lineage: Bacteria; Bacillati; Chloroflexota; Caldilineae; Caldilineales; Caldilineaceae. The record is from RNAcentral.
GGGGAUGACAGGCUUCGACGGGGCAGGUCGUUCUUUGACUGCAGGCCGUAGAGCGUCGACUACGCUAAAAAGGCGCAAACCCUAUACAUGCCAACAACACUGGCAAGGUCUUCAACUUCGGUUUCGCCAAUGCCGCUCCUGUGGCGGUGGCGGCCUAAGUUAGGCCACUGACCCCGUCAAAAGGGUCACGGCCCGUUCGAAUGGUGCUCGCAGGUUCGACGGUAGCUGACAUAGACUGAAGGGCUGCGGCGACGUGACGCCGAUAUCGUCGCCUAAGGUGAUCGGCUAGCCGGGCAUAGGAAUCCUGUUGCACGGAGUCCGCCCGGUGAACCAUCAAAUGUGCAACUAUGCCUGUAGACGUCUCUGGACAAAUGUUUCGGACGCGGGUUCGAUUCCCGCCAUCUCCACCU